RNAcentral lists this ribosomal RNA (467 nucleotides) under uncultured bacterium. RNAcentral's name for it is "partial 16S ribosomal RNA". It matches the Rfam family "Bacterial small subunit ribosomal RNA", at positions 28 to 507 of the family's 1533-position model. The record is from RNAcentral.
GACGAACGCUGGCGGCGUGCUUAACACAUGCAAGUCGAACGGAAAGGCUCCAGCUUGCUGGAGUACUCGAGUGGCGAACGGGUGAGUAACACGUGGGUAAUCUGCCCUGCACUCUGGGAUAAGCCUGGGAAACUGGGUCUAAUACUGGAUAUGACCUUUCUCCUUAUGGGGUUUGGUGGAAAGUUUUUCGGUGUAGGAUGAGCCCGCGGCCUAUCAGCUUGUUGGUGGGGUGAUGGCCUACCAAGGCGACGACGGGUAGCCGGCCUGAGAGGGUGAUCGGCCACAUUGGGACUGAGAUACGGCCCAGACUCCUACGGGAGACAGCAGUGGGGAAUAUUGCACAAUGGGCGGAAGCCUGAUGCAGCGACGCCGCGUGAGGGAUGACGGCCUUCGGGUUGUAAACCUCUUUCAGCAGGGACGAAGCGUAAGUGACGGUACCUGCAGAAGAAGCACCGGCUAACUAUGUG